AGAGUUUGAUCCUGGCUCAGGAUGAACGCUAGCUAUAGGCUUAACACAUGCAAGUCGAGGGGAAACGGCAUUAUGUGCUUGCACAUUUUGGACGUCGACCGGCGCACGGGUGAGUAUCGCGUAUCCAACCUGCCCUUUACUUGGGGAUACCCCGUUGAAAGACGGCCUAAUACCCGAUGUAAUUCAUUGAUGGCAUCAGAUAUGAAUAAAAGAUUUAUCGGUAAAGGAUGGGGAUGCGUCUGAUUAGCUUGUUGGUGAGGUAAUGGCUCACCAAGGCGACGAUCAGUAGGGGUUCUGAGAGGAAGGUCCCCCACAUUGGAACUGAGACACGGUCCAAACUCCUACGGGAGGCAGCAGUGAGGAAUAUUGGUCAAUGGGCGCAAGCCUGAACCAGCCAAGUAGCGUGCAGGAAGACGGCCCUAUGGGUUGUAAACUGCUUUUAUACGAGAAUAAUUUGAUGCACGUGUGCGUUAUUGCAUGUAUCGUAUGAAUAAGGACCGGCUAAUUCCGUGCCAGCAGCCGCGGUAAUACGGAAGGUCCAGGCGUUAUCCGGAUUUAUUGGGUUUAAAGGGAGUGUAGGCGGUUUGUUAAGCGUGUUGUGAAAUUUAGAUGCUCAACAUUUAACUUGCAGCGCGAACUGUCAGACUUGAGUACACGCAACGUAUGCGGAAUUCAUGGUGUAGCGGUGAAAUGCUUAGAUAUCAUGAAGAACUCCGAUUGCGAAGGCAGCAUACGGGAGUGUAACUGACGCUUAAGCUCGAAGGUGCGGGUAUCGAACAGGAUUAGAUACCCUGGUAGUCCGCACAGUAAACGAUGGAUGCCCGCUGUUAGCGCCUGGCGUUAGCGGCUAAGCGAAAGCAUUAAGCAUCCCACCUGGGGAGUACGCCGGCAACGGUGAAACUCAAAGGAAUUGACGGGGGCCCGCACAAGCGGAGGAACAUGUGGUUUAAUUCGAUGAUACGCGAGGAACCUUACCCGGGCUUGAAUUGCAGAUGUAGGAUACAGAGAUGUUGACGCCCUUCGGGGCAUCUGUGAAGGUGCUGCAUGGUUGUCGUCA
Molecule: ribosomal RNA, 1057 nt
Filed under: metagenome
Description: bacterial SSU rRNA
Rfam family: Bacterial small subunit ribosomal RNA
Source: RNAcentral